This 503-nucleotide long non-coding RNA is filed under the name Salvia miltiorrhiza (redroot sage). RNAcentral describes it as "long non-coding RNA (SMIL_LNC000914)". The record is from RNAcentral. Lineage: Eukaryota; Viridiplantae; Streptophyta; Magnoliopsida; Lamiales; Lamiaceae.
UCAUUACAUUAAAUAAACAAUUUGCAUUUCAUUGAAACAUUUAGAGCUUAAUAACUCAAUCAUACUUUGUACAUUUGGAAAGUAAGCCCACCUGGUUAGGCAAAGCCUGAAGAUCAUAAUCACAUAUAAACCUGUCUUGGGAAAGCAGCGCUAAUUCCCCUGGUCACAAAGCCUACAAGAAAUUCUAUUCUUAAUAGGUCUCAUGAAACUAAUCUUAAUGUAUUUAUGGAUGUACUAAACAUACUUGAUUCAUCACGCCGGGUUUUCAAAUUUAAUGAAUAAAUACUUGAAAACUAAAUUUCUUGAGUUAAGGACACCAACAAUAUCCUUACUCGAUUUUCUUUUAGUGUUUUAGGGUUCUAGCAUCCAUAAUUCGUUCCAUUAAAGACAAUCGAAAACCAACAUAACCUCGUGACUAACCACAUAAUAUCACGUAAUCACGUAAACAAUAAACAGAAAGAAAUAAAAUCCUCAAGUUUAGUAUCAUUAAAAUCACAAGUUCA